Long non-coding RNA from Alexandromys fortis (reed vole), 2130 nucleotides. RefSeq lists it as uncharacterized. Lineage: Eukaryota; Metazoa; Chordata; Mammalia; Rodentia; Cricetidae. The transcript is spliced from 3 exons. The record is from RefSeq and is a predicted model, not a curated record.
CAUGGUCCAAGCAGUUCUUUAAAUGAAUACAGUUUGUGUGUUGUUAUUUUGGGCAUGAGCUAGCCAAGCGGCCGGGGUGUUGGGGAUGCAGCCCCGCCGCCGCUCUUAUUUCAACAGAUGGCGCCCAGACGUGUGGCUAACUGAAUCUACAAAAAGCCUGAGAAAGCUUGGGAAAGAGUAAAGCAUGUUUUCUUGGUAGCAGCAGUUUCUCGGGUCUCCUCUGCUUGUUAGAAGCAAGCAAGCACUCUCAUCUAAGAGAGGCUUCCUGACUCAGCUUCAGCUGCAAAACCCUGCAGCUCAUUAAGAGGUCCUGCCACAAAACACUUAAAUGGUGUUGGUGAAAAGCUGAACGCAUGCUUUUCGGUUUUCAGCCGUAGCAGGAAAAAAGCUGCGCUGUUCAAAAAUGCCGGCUUUCUGGGCUGUCCUGCCACGGCAAACUCUGACUCUUUUACGCAGGCGGUUCGUGUGGUUUGCAAGCACAGGCUGCUGAAGCUCGCUUGCUGGCAGGGACCUUGAAAUGCCAUAGAGUUGUGGCAGUAAACGUGGCUACAACCGGUACCUCAGCCAUGAGGCCGGAAAGCUAAGGAAUGGACUGGAUCUAGCUGGCAAAGCCACGGCUUUAAUCCUACUCAUAUUGCUCAGUAAUUUAAAGGCUCGUGUGGUCAGAAAAAGAGAGAUAUACAGUAAAGAGAUUCAAAGACAAAGAAAAUGUUUAAAUGAUUUACAGUGUGUUAAAAAUAUAUGCAAGCUAAAAGUUAAAAGUUCUUAAAAAAAAAAAAGAAAAAGAGAAGUUGUGUGUGGUAGUACACGCCUUUAAUCCCAACACUUGGGAGGCAGGGGGAGAUUGACCUCUGUGACUUCAAGGUGUGGUAGCACACGCCUUUAAUCCCAGUGCCUAGAAGGCAGAGACAAACAGAUCUCUGUGAGUUCAAGGUGUAGUAGCAAACACCUUUAAUCCCAAUGCCUGGGAGGCAGAGACAGGCGGAUCUCUGAGAGUUCAAGGAGAGCCUGGUCUACAGAGUUAUUCCAGGUCAAAGAGAUACAGAGAAUAUAAAAUUAAAAAUAAACGAAAUAGAGGUUAAAAUAAAGCGUACAAAGAUGGAAAAUACACAGAGAAUCUUGAUACUGUAUACUAUUAUGCUCUCUUUGAAUUGUUUGAAUGCUGAGGAAGGAGCAACAGCUGCCAAAAGAUAUUUGUUUAUAAAUGCUGCUGAACUAAUCCAACGUAGAGAUUUUGAUGCCUUGACUUUGAAAUUUGGAUCUAAGGACAUGAUACUUUGGAAAGGAGUUUCUUUUUUUGUUUUCACAGAGGAUGAGACCCUGUUCAUUUCUUCUAUUCCGAUAUGGUAUGAUGGACCACGCCCUCCUGAACGGUUGCUGUGAAUACCUUCAGAAAAUUGCUUCGCUCAACUGCCAACUGAGAUGAAACUAGCACACAGGUUAUACCAUGAAAGACCUAAUUAACGACGCCCCCAUUCAGCAGGAAGCAGUUUGGAGAGAAAAAACUGCGCCCAUGUUCCCAAAUAUGGUUUAUAAAUGUUCUUUUACAUUUAAAGGGGGAGAUGAUAUAGGACUUUUCAUGACAAUGAGACACUCUGCUCCUGGCAGCACCAAUCUACUUCAAGAGGAAGAUGGGCAUCGAAGAGGAUCCUUAUGGAGUUUGAUAGCCAUUUGGGCAAGAAACUGCUCUUGCCUGGACUAUUGCAUAAACUGGACACAGAGAACCCGCAGAGAGAGGACUGCUGAACUUGCCUAAAGAACCUUCAUCUGGAGAUGGAUGGAGAUAGAGACAGAGACCCACACUGGAGCACCGGACUGAGCUCCCAAUGUCCCAAGGAGGAGCAGAAGGAGGGAAAAUAUGAGCAAAGAAGUCAGGACCACGAGGGGUGCACCCACCCACGGAGACAGUGGGGCUGAUCUAUUGUGAGCUCACCAAGGCCAGCUGGACUGCGACUGAAAAAGCAUGGGAUAAAACCGGACUCUCUGAAUAUGGCGGACAAUGAGGGCUGCUGAGAAGCCAAGGACAAUGCCACUGGGUUUUGAUCCUACUUCAUGUUCUGGCUUUGUGGGAACCUAGCCAGUUUGGAUGUCCACCUUCCUAGACCAGGAUGGAGCGGGGAGAACUUUGGA